Molecule: ribosomal RNA, 658 nt
Filed under: uncultured Russulaceae
Lineage: Eukaryota; Fungi; Basidiomycota; Agaricomycetes; Russulales; Russulaceae
Description: eukaryotic LSU rRNA
Rfam family: 5.8S ribosomal RNA (bases 254-407)
Source: RNAcentral
UCUUGGUCCAUUAGAGGAAGUAAAAGUCGUAACAAGGGUUCCGUAGGUGAACCUGCGGAAGGAUCAUUAUCGUAUAACGGAGGUGCCGGGGCUGUCGCUAACUUUUUGUGCACGCCCUGGUGGUCUCUUACAAUCCAUCUUACCCUUUUGUGCAUCACCGCGUGGGGUGCUCUCCUUUUAAAAAGGGGGCAUUCGCGCUUUUUAACAAACCCAUCGCAUGUGUAGAAUGUCUUACUAUUUGUGAUAACAAUACAACUUUCAACAACGGAUCUCUUGGCUCUCGCAUCGAUGAAGAACGCAGCGAAAUGCGAUACGUAAUGUGAAUUGCAGAAUUCAGUGAAUCAUCGAAUCUUUGAACGCACCUUGCGCCCCUUGGAAUUCCGAGGGGCACACCCGUUUGAGUGUCGUGAACUCCUUCAACCUUUCUUAGUUUCUCGACUAAGAAAGGCUUGGACUUUGGAGGUUGCUGGCAUCCAGCUCCUCUUAAAUCGAUUAGUAGGGUCUGCUUUGCACAUCCUUGACGUGAUAAGAUGUUUCUACGUCUUGGGUUCCGCACUGGCACUUUACACCUUGCUUCUAACCAAAAGUUAUGAACCUGACCUCAAAUCGGGGGAGCCUCCCGGUUAACCUUAUCCUUAUCAUUAACCGGAAGGAAACC